UCCAUUUAGCUCGGGACUCUGAAGCCGAAGCUGUGAAUGACGUCGCACCAGAGUUCAAUGCGUUCCAUUUACAAGACUGAUUUUUCAUUGUGGGCUUAGCUCUAGCCAGGUCAGCUCUUCUUAGCAAUACCAGUUGAUGACAAGGGAUUAUGCUGUUUUUGUACGUGCAUACCAACACCGUAAUAUGUCCACAGAUAGAAGGUGGACAGGACUGUGGGUUCAACUGAUUUAGUGAGACACAAACGAGACAAGUGCUCAUAACUGUAUGUUACCACAGCUUUCACAACUGUUCAUGCAUUGGGCAUCCUUGUUGGAUUUAGAGCUUGUUGUACUCAGAGGUUGUCAGAGUUCCUAGCUCGGAAAUCCGAGGUCAGGAGGGCGUGUUUUCCGACUUUGACCUCGGAAAGUCCGACUUCCGAUUAUAAAUGGAAUUAACUAUAACUGUGCUUAAUGA
Molecule: long non-coding RNA, 454 nt
Organism: Etheostoma cragini (Arkansas darter)
Lineage: Eukaryota; Metazoa; Chordata; Actinopteri; Perciformes; Percidae
Exons: 3
Source: RefSeq, a predicted model, not a curated record